RNAcentral lists this ribosomal RNA (399 nucleotides) under uncultured bacterium. Its description in RNAcentral is "bacterial SSU rRNA". It matches the Rfam family "Bacterial small subunit ribosomal RNA", at positions 355 to 777 of the family's 1533-position model. The record is from RNAcentral.
CAGGGAAUCGUACGCAAUGGACGAAAGUCUGACGUCGCAAUGCCGCGUGGGGGAUGAAGGCCUUCGGGUCGUAAACUCCUUUUACAGUAAUAGAGAUGUUAUUGAGAAUAAGCACCUGCUAACUCUGUGCCAGCAGCCGCGGUAAUACAGAGGGUGCAAGCGUUAUCCGGAUUUAUUGGGCGUAAAGCGUUUCGUAGGUUUCUAGGUAAGUUAUUUUUCAAAGACCACGGCUCAACCGGGGGAAGGGAAGUAAUACUAUCUGGAUUGAAAUAUGGUGGGGCUUCUGGAACUGAUGGUGUAGUAGUGAAAUACGUUGAUAUCAUCAGGAACUCCGAGGGCGAAGGCAGGAAGCUAACCAUUUUUGACACUGAGGAACGACAGCUAGGGGAGCGAAAGGGA